Molecule: RNA transcript, 2345 nt
Organism: Sphaerodactylus townsendi
Lineage: Eukaryota; Metazoa; Chordata; Lepidosauria; Squamata; Sphaerodactylidae
Gene: HMGN3
Gene name: high mobility group nucleosomal binding domain 3
Exons: 7
Source: RefSeq, a predicted model, not a curated record
GGCAGGCAGGCUGGGAGGUGGGGACUACCGACUUGGGGAGCCAAUUGCAAGCCGCAGCCGUCGCCUCCCCACCCCCACUCCACUCGCCUUCUCUCCGUAGCCGAGGGGGGCGAUCGCAAGUGGGGGCCGCCGCUUUCUGGGGUGUCGCCUGCGGAGGGUCGGGCAAGCGCCAGGCGGCUCGUCGCGAGCAACGUGGAGAUCUCGUGCGGCGGCGACCCCAGUCGCGUCGGCGAAAGCGCAGGGUCCUCUUCGCACUGCUUCGGCUGCCCGCAAAAGGGACAUCAUGCCGAAGAGAAAGUCUCCAGAGGGUGCUGAAGGCAAGGAAGCUGCAAAACUAACGAAGCAAGAGCCAACAAGGCGAUCUGCAAGAUUGUCAGCUAAACCAGCUCCGCCAAAACCUGAGCCCAAGCCAAGGAAAACCACUAAGAAGGAACCUGGAACAAAGACUAACAAAGGUGCUAAGGGGAAGAAGGAUGAAAAACAAGAAACUGCAAAGGAAGGUACUACACCAUCUGAAAAUGGUGAAAAUAAAGCUGAAGAGAUUCGCAUCUCUCGCUCCACUGUUAGUGUUUCAACAUCCAGAGGUGCUAUUUUAUCAGUAAGGAAGGGUGAGAUUAGAACAAGUGAAAGUUAAAGGGUGGGCCGAGCAUUCUUAGCACUUGUACAGUGAAUAGAAAAUGGUAGUAAAUUGGUGCUGUUGUGGUGAACAAUGGAAGCUGGCAGGCACAGAGAACUGAACCUGUAGAAGACAAGUGCGUGUGAACGGACAUGAACAUUUGAGGAUGAUUUUAUGCACCUCUUGGACAACUUUUAAAAGAUAUUUUUAUCAAGUAUUUUGUAAAUGCUAAUUUUUUAGGACUUAUGAUAAGUUGACAAACUGUAUAUGAACAUUUUCCCUUCCACACGUGUGCUUUUAGAAAUUCCCAAUGUUGCCAAGGGUUUUUUUUUAAGUAUCAACUUACUAUUGGAAAAAGGUGUUUAUAAGAUUGGACAACCAUUCCAUAUAUUUGCUUUCCAGAAAUGUAUGUCUAGUGCAUAUGGUGACGUUUUUACUGUGAGUGUUUGGAUUUUUCUUGCAGUUUUUCUAGAGCAAUAAUCUGUGGUGCUUUUGUACUUAAGGUUUCUGCGAUUUUAAUGAAACAUGUAUAGAUAUGGCCGCCUGAUGACUAUGUUCUGUUCUUUGCCAUUGGUUUAAAACAAAAAAAUCUCCUUGCCAGCAGAUAUAAUUUCCCUAUAUUUUCUAUCAAUUUGAGAAAUGCCUUAUAAAUACUUUGCUCUUGUUAGAAAGAUACUAAGCACACUUAUUUAAAAGUUGGUUUCAGUGAUCUUAGGAUCAUUGUUAAAGGUCAUGGAAAGUCAGAAUUACACCUUAAUACAUGUACUUGGUAAUAAGAUCCAUUGUUUAGAAUCAGUGUACCAGAGGACAUAAAUGCUAAUAUUCCAACAAAGUGGUAUGUAGGCAAAUGGCAAAAUGGUUUGUGCUCAUUGCGAAGCAUUUGUGACACAUCCAAGUGUUUACGUCAGUCUCCUAUACCAUGGCUUGCCAGGUACCAUAGGAGUCCUAAACUAAAGCCUCAGAACCCAUCAGGCUGGGGCAAGUCAAGCAAAAUAGGAAGUUUCAUGAGCCCCUGGUAGACUACAUGUGACUCAUGGGCUGCAUGAACUUGAUGAGCCAUUCUCUGUGAAAGGCCUGGCAUAGAAAUAUACCAUACCAAUGGACUUUUUCUGUAUUCUUCUUCAAUAUAUCAACUUAAAUUGUCUUUAUAGUAUUGUAAAAGCACAAUUCAAAUUGAUCUAUACCUUGAUUGAGAGAUACAGAGGAACAGCUUUGAUUUCAUUCCUCCAUAUUUUAAACUACCGUAUCCUUUCUUUUUUUAUUUUAUCAGAGAUGAUUUUUAUGUAAACAUCUAAGUCUACAGAAUCAGUCCUUUGCUUCAAUUCUUCAUCUAGAUUUGGUAAUUUCUCUUCUCCUUUAUCGAACAAUUGGUGAUUAAUGUAUCAAAGCUACAUUUUUUAAAAGCACUGUGUGUGGUACCUAGUAGAGAUAAUGUAGGUGAAAUAUAUUUUAAGAAACUGAUGGUUGUGCUGCUGGUGUUCAAUUAGAUAAAUAAUUUUAAUGCCUAUGUUAACACUACUCCAGCCCAUUAUAAGCAUCUAGUGAUUUCCCACCUGUUUUUCUCAUUUUUUGCCUGGGACUUACAUAUUUUUGCUGGAGGGAGGGGGGGAAGAUAAAGGAACCUAUUUUAUGUCCUUUGGUAACAUUUAUUUUUAUUGCUAAACUGGUGGCCCUAAUGUUUGGGGAUAUAUGCAUGUUUCAGUCAAUAAAUGAAGUAAUUAUCACUCAA